This 701-nucleotide ribosomal RNA is filed under the name uncultured bacterium. RNAcentral describes it as "bacterial SSU rRNA". It matches the Rfam family "Bacterial small subunit ribosomal RNA", at positions 140 to 828 of the family's 1533-position model. The record is from RNAcentral.
GGGAUAACACUUGAAAACAGGUGCUAAUACCGCAUAACCAUAGUUACCGCAUGGUAACUAUGUAAAAGGUGGCUAUGCUACCGCUUUUGGAUGGGCCCGCGACGCAUUAGCUAGUUGGUGGGGUAAAGGCUUACCAAGGCAAUGAUGCGUAGCCGAACUGAGAGGUUGAUCGGCCACAUUGGGACUGAGACACGGCCCAAACUCCUACGGGAGGCAGCAGUAGGGAAUCUUCCACAAUGGGCGAAAGCCUGAUGGAGCAACGCCGCGUGGGUGAAGAAGGUCUUCGGAUCGUAAAACCCUGUUGUUAGAGAAGAAAGUGCGUGAGAGUAACUGUUCACGUUUCGACGGUAUCUAACCAGAAAGCCACGGCUAACUACGUGCCAGCAGCCGCGGUAAUACGUAGGUGGCAAGCGUUAUCCGGAUUUAUUGGGCGUAAAGAGAACGCAGGCGGUCUUUUAAGUCUGAUGUGAAAGCCUUCGGCUUAACCGGAGUAGUGCAUUGGAAACUGGGAGACUUGAGUGCAGAAGAGGAGAGUGGAACUCCAUGUGUAGCGGUGAAAUGCGUAGAUAUAUGGAAGAACACCAGUGGCGAAAGCGGCUCUCUGGUCUGUAACUGACGCUGAGGUUCGAAAGCGUGGGUAGCAAACAGGAUUAGAUACCCUGGUAGUCCACGCCGUAAACGAUGCAUGAUAGGUGUUGGAG